AAGAAUGUGAAAAAUUGAUGCUUCUCAAAACACUCUAAAAAGAGUGCUACUUUUGUCAAUUAAGGCUUCAGCUUAUUUGGAAAAACUCUACCUAGUUGGCACUCGACUAUUGGAUACAUGAUACUCACUUGGAUUGUGCUAGUUGAGAUCGGUUUUGGACCAUUGGAUCAAACCAACGGUUGAGAUCAUGUCUUGGGACGUGACCUUCCAACUUAACCCAAAAGUCUCGUGACUUUUGGUUAAUCCUAGAUUUUUCUCUCUCUCUUCUCUUGCAUCUCUCUCUAGUUCUUCGAGUUCUUC
RNAcentral lists this long non-coding RNA (300 nucleotides) under Olea europaea (common olive). Its description in RNAcentral is "long non-coding RNA (OEUR_LNC009907)". The record is from RNAcentral. Lineage: Eukaryota; Viridiplantae; Streptophyta; Magnoliopsida; Lamiales; Oleaceae.